CACGUAGGGCGCGAGCGUUUGUCCGGAAUUAUUGGGCGUAAAGAGCUCGUAGGCGGCCUGUUGCGUCCGCUGUGAAAGCCCGGGGGCUUAACCCCCGGGUCUGCAGUGGAUACGGGCAGGCUAGAGGUAGGUAGGGGAGAAUGGAAUUCCCGGUGUAGCGGUGAAAUGCGCAGAUAUCGGGAGGAACACCGGUGGCGAAGGCG
RNAcentral lists this ribosomal RNA (203 nucleotides) under uncultured bacterium. RNAcentral's name for it is "partial 16S ribosomal RNA". It matches the Rfam family "Bacterial small subunit ribosomal RNA", at positions 524 to 723 of the family's 1533-position model. The record is from RNAcentral.